GUCAGAGGCGAUGAAGGACGUGCUAAUCUGCGAUAAGCGUCGGUAAGGUGAUAUGAACCGUUAUAACCGGCGAUUUCCGAAUGGGGAAACCCAGUGUGAUUCGUCACACUAUCAUUAACUGAAUCCAUAGGUUAAUGAGGCGAACCGGGGGAACUGAAACAUCUAAGUACCCCGAGGAAAAGAAAUCAACCGAGAUUCCCCCAGUAGCGGCGAGCGAACGGGGAGCAGCCCAGAGCCUGAAUCAGUGUGUGUGUUAGUGGAAGCGUCUGGAAAGGCGCGCGAUACAGGGUGACAGCCCCGUACACAAAAAUGCACAU
Molecule: ribosomal RNA, 317 nt
Filed under: Escherichia coli
Lineage: Bacteria; Pseudomonadati; Pseudomonadota; Gammaproteobacteria; Enterobacterales; Enterobacteriaceae
Description: partial 23S ribosomal RNA
Rfam family: Bacterial large subunit ribosomal RNA
Source: RNAcentral